AGUCCGGUAGGAGUCUGAUUGCUAGAGAAGUCCGUCUGGGAUUCACCUGAUGUGGAAGCUCGUCUGAAGAUUAUCCACCGGAGAAGUUCGGUUUCAUAAAAAAUCUGACGGAGGGUCGGCCGACGGUGGACUUCGAAUGGCGUUGGAGAGGCUCGACAGACACCGAAGGUGAUCGAUCGUUGUAGAAAUCCAGCUGCCAGAGUCUGUCCGUCGUAGAAGCUCGUCCGAUAUCCAUCCGCUAUGGAAGUUCGGACGGAGUCUGGUUCUUGUAGAAGGUUGAAAGGAGACUGCUUAUUGUAGAAGCUUGGUCGAAGGUCGGUUGUCAUGGGAGCUCGGAGUAGCAACCUGAC
This 350-nucleotide long non-coding RNA is filed under the name Elaeis guineensis (African oil palm). RNAcentral's name for it is "long non-coding RNA (EGUI_LNC065967)". Lineage: Eukaryota; Viridiplantae; Streptophyta; Magnoliopsida; Arecales; Arecaceae. The record is from RNAcentral.